Molecule: unclassified non-coding RNA, 345 nt
Filed under: soil metagenome
Description: partial contains 5.8S ribosomal RNA, internal transcribed spacer 2, and large subunit ribosomal RNA
Rfam family: 5.8S ribosomal RNA (bases 1-120)
Source: RNAcentral
GAUGAAGAACGUAGCGAAAUGCGAUACGUAAUGUGAAUUGCAGAAUUCAGUGAAUCAUCGAGUCUUUGAACGCACAUUGCGCCCUCUGGUAUUCCGGAGGGCAUGCCUGUCCGAGCGUCAUUGCUGCCCUCAAGCACGGCUUGUGUGUUGGGCCCCGCCCCCCGAUCCCGGGGGGCGGGCCCGAAAGGCAGCGGCGGCACCGCGUCCGGUCCUCGAGCGUAUGGGGCUUUGUCACCCGCUCUGUAGGCCCGGCCGGCGCCUGCCGAUCAACCAAACUUUUUUCCAGGUUGACCUCGGGUCAGGUAGGGAUACCCGCUGAACUUAAGCAUAUCAAUAAGCGGAGGA